AUUGAACGCUGGCGGCAGGCCUAACACAUGCAAGUCGAGCGAGCGGCGGACGGGUGAGUAAUGUCUGGGAAACUGCCUGUUGGAGGGGGAUAACUCCAGGAAACGGUAGCUAAUACCGCAUACCAUCAGAUGUGCCCAGAUGGGGUUAGCUAGUAGGUGGGGUAACGGCUCACCUAGGCGACGAUCCCUCGCUGGUCUGAGAGGGUGACCAGCCACACUGGAACUGAGACACGGUCCAGACUCCUACGUGAGGCAGCAGUGGGGAAUAUUGCACAAUGGGCGCAAGCCUGAUGCAGCCAUGCCGCGUGUAUGAAGAAGGCCUUCGGGUUGUAAAGCACUUUCAGCGGGGAGGCGUUACCCGCAGAAGAAGCACCGGCUAACUCCGUGCCAGCCGCCGCGGUAAUGC
Molecule: ribosomal RNA, 406 nt
Filed under: uncultured bacterium
Lineage: Bacteria
Description: partial 16S ribosomal RNA
Rfam family: Bacterial small subunit ribosomal RNA
Source: RNAcentral